RNAcentral lists this ribosomal RNA (588 nucleotides) under uncultured bacterium. RNAcentral's name for it is "partial 16S ribosomal RNA". It matches the Rfam family "Bacterial small subunit ribosomal RNA", at positions 355 to 1376 of the family's 1533-position model. The record is from RNAcentral.
AGGGGAAUUUUGGACAAUGGGCGAAAGCCUGAUCCAGCAAUGCCGCGUGUGUGAAGAAGGCCUUCGGGUUGUAAAGCACUUUUGUCCGGAAAGAAAUCCUUGGCUCUAAUACAGUCGGGGGAUGACGGUACCGGAAGAAUAAGCACCGGCUAACUACGUGCCAGCAGCCGCGGUAAUACGUAGGGUGCAAGCGUUAAUCGGAAUUACUGGGCGUAAAGCGUGCGCAGGCGGUUUGCUAAGACCGAUGUGAAAUCCCCGGGCUCAACCUGGGAACUGCAUUGGUGACUGGCAGGCUAGAGUAUGGCAGAGGGGGGUAGAUUCCGNNNGUGUAGCAGUGAAAUGCGUAGAGAUGUGGAGGAUACCGAUGGCGAAGGCAGCCCCUGGGGCCAAUANUGACCGCGUCAUGCACGAAAGCGUGGGGAGCAAACAGGAUUAGAUACCCUGGUAGUCCACGCCCUAAACGAUGUCAACUAGUUGUUGGGGAUUCAUUUCCUUAGUAACGUAGCUAACGCGUGAAGUUGGCCGCCUGGGGAGUACGGUCGCAAGAUUAAAACUCAAAUGAAUUGACGGGGUCAUAGCUGUUUCCUG